GCCAACGUGGUGUGGUGGCUUGAACACUGGACUUUAAAUCUAGAGGACAGAGUUCAAAUCCCCACUUGGCC
This is a non-coding RNA of Phrynosoma platyrhinos (Desert horned lizard), 71 nucleotides long. Lineage: Eukaryota; Metazoa; Chordata; Lepidosauria; Squamata; Phrynosomatidae. The record is from the annotation of a GenBank genome assembly.